GACGAACGCUGGCGGCGUGCUUAACACAUGCAAGUGGAGCGACGAACCGGGCUUCGGCCCGGGGCAAAGCCGCGAACGGGUGAGUAACACGUGGGUAACCUGCCCCGAUGACUGGGACAACCCGGGGAAACCCGGGCUAAUACCGGAUGAGCUCUCCCCACAUAAGUGGGAAGAGGAAAGGUAGCUUUGGCCUCCGCAUCGGGAUGGGCCCGCGGCGCAUUAGCUUGUUGGUGGGGUAAUGGCCUACCAAGGCGACGAUGCGUAGCUGGUCUGAGAGGACGAUCAGCCACACUGGGACUGAGACACGGCCCAGACUCCUACGGGAGGCAGCAGUGGGGAAUCUUGCGCAAUGCGCGAAAGCGUGACGCAGCAACGCCGCGUGGGGGAAGAAGGCCUUCGGGUUGUAAACCCCUUUCAGGAGGGACGAAGCGUGGACGGUGAAUAGCCGAUUCACGUGACGGUACCUCCAGAAGAAGCCCCGGCUAACUACGUGCCAGCAGCCGCCGUAAAAC
RNAcentral lists this ribosomal RNA (512 nucleotides) under uncultured bacterium. RNAcentral's name for it is "bacterial SSU rRNA". It matches the Rfam family "Bacterial small subunit ribosomal RNA", at positions 28 to 526 of the family's 1533-position model. The record is from RNAcentral.